AUACGGAGGAUCCGAGCGUUAUCCGGAUUUAUUGGGUUUAAAGGGUGCGCAGGCGGCCAUUUAAGUCAGCGGUUAAAUCGUGGGGCUCAACCCCAUUCUGCCGUUGAUACUGGGUGGCUUGAUUGCGGUCGAGGUUGGCGGAAUUCGUUGUGUAGCGGUGAAAUGCAUAGAUAUGACGAAGAACACCGAUUGCGUAGGCAGCUGACCAGACCGCAAAUGACGCUCAUGCACGAAAGUGCGGGGAUCGAACAGGAUUAGAUACCCUGGUAGUCCGCACAGUAAACGAUGAAUACUUGUUUUCGGCGAUAUAAUGUCGGAGGCAAAGCGAAAGCGAUAAGUAUUCCACCUGGGGAGUACGCCGGCAACGGUGAAGCUCAAAUGAAUUGACGGGG
RNAcentral lists this ribosomal RNA (392 nucleotides) under uncultured bacterium. RNAcentral's name for it is "partial 16S ribosomal RNA". It matches the Rfam family "Bacterial small subunit ribosomal RNA", at positions 523 to 918 of the family's 1533-position model. The record is from RNAcentral.